This is a non-coding RNA of Danio rerio (zebrafish), 117 nucleotides long. Lineage: Eukaryota; Metazoa; Chordata; Actinopteri; Cypriniformes; Danionidae. The record is from Rfam.
AUCCACAGCCAUAUCACCCUGCAGCCCAAGACCGGUUACUCACUGAAGCGAAACAGGGCUAAGCCUAGCCAGUGCCUGGAUGGGAGACCACAUGGGAAAACCAGGUUGCUGUUGGAA